CCUACGGGAGGCAGCAGUGGGGGAUAUUGCACAAUGGGGGGAACCCUGAUGCAGCGACGCCGCGUGGGUGAAGAAGCGCCUCGGCGCGUAAAGCCCUGUCAGCAGGGAAGAAAAUGACGGUACCUGAAGAAGAAGCCCCGGCUAACUACGUGCCAGCAGCCGCGGUAAUACGUAGGGGGCAAGCGUUAUCCGGAUUUACUGGGUGUAAAGGGGGCGCAGACGGCGAUGCAAGCCAGGAGUGAAAGCCCGGGGGCCAACCCCGGGACUGCUCUUGGAACUGCGUGGCUGGAGUGCAGGAGGGGCAGGCGGAAUUCCUGGUGUAGCGGUGAAAUGCGUAGAUAUCAGGAGGAACACCGGUGGCGAAGGCGGCCUGCUGGACUGCAACUGACGUUGAGGCCCGAAAGCGUGGGGAGCAAACAGGAUUAGAUACCCCGGUAGUC
This 440-nucleotide ribosomal RNA is filed under the name uncultured bacterium. Its description in RNAcentral is "partial 16S ribosomal RNA". It matches the Rfam family "Bacterial small subunit ribosomal RNA", at positions 338 to 795 of the family's 1533-position model. The record is from RNAcentral.